RNAcentral lists this ribosomal RNA (465 nucleotides) under Vreelandella stevensii. Its description in RNAcentral is "partial 16S ribosomal RNA". It matches the Rfam family "Bacterial small subunit ribosomal RNA", at positions 338 to 795 of the family's 1533-position model. Lineage: Bacteria; Pseudomonadati; Pseudomonadota; Gammaproteobacteria; Oceanospirillales; Halomonadaceae. The record is from RNAcentral.
CCUACGGUGGGCUGCAGUGGGGAAUAUUGGACAAUGGGCGAAAGCCUGAUCCAGCCAUGCCGCGUGUGUGAAGAAGGCCUUCGGGUUGUAAAGCACUUUCAGUGGGGAAGAAAGCCUUGGGGCUAAUACCCUCGAGGAAGGACAUCACCCACAGAAUAAGCACCGGCUAACUCCGUGCCAGCAGCCGCGGUAAUACGGAGGGUGCGAGCGUUAAUCGGAAUUACUGGGCGUAAAGCGCGCGUAGGCGGUUUGAUAAGCCGGUUGUGAAAGCCCCGGGCUCAACCUGGGAACGGCAUCCGGAACGGUAAGGCUAGAGUGCAGGAGAGGAAGGUAGAAUUCCCGGUGUAGCGGUGAAAUGCGUAGAGAUCGGGAGGAAUACCAGUGGCGAAGGCGGCCUUCUGGACUGACACUGACGCUGAGGUGCGAAAGCGUGGGUAGCAAACAGGAUUAGAUACCCCGGUAGUC